Serinus canaria (Common canary) is the source of this 1818-nucleotide long non-coding RNA. NCBI's taxonomy places the organism in Eukaryota, Metazoa, Chordata, Aves, Passeriformes, Fringillidae. The record is from Ensembl.
GCCCGAGCUGAGCAGCCCCGCUCAGGCACUGCUGGGGCUGUUUGGGUUUGGCGCAGGAGGUUCCUGGGCCGGAGCUGCCCCUGCAAUCCCCGAGUGGGUGCUGGGAACUUCUCACAUGCCCUCUGCGCUCUCAGACCGCGCUCUCCCGACCAGACCCACCGUCUCCACAAAAAAUCGCGAGCUGAAGCAGUUUCAGGUUAAAAUAGCUGCAAGGGAGCCUUGCUGUGGGAUUGAACAGAUAAGAAGUGACCUUAGGACUGUGGAGGUGUGGCAUCGACUCCAAGCUUUGUUCCUGGCCGAGUUUAGACUCAGGCAUCAUAUUUACCUGGCUUUUGUUUUAUGGUAUGAGCCUGACACCUGCACCUUCCCCUCCAACAGACCCAACUGAACCCCAGUGUGUCUGUCACAGCUCACGCUGCAGCUCUGGGUUCAUGGAGAGGAGUCCCAGUCCAGUCUGCAGAGAGAUACAUAAAGCUGAGUACACAUGUGGAGUGUUAAGCUGGACCGAAGUAAAGCUCUUGAAACCUGCUAGCUGCUCAAGAAUUUUUUGUUUUAUACCAGUCUCUCUUUGUUAUCUUGCUUGCACUUCUUUCCAGGGUAAGAAAAUAAUGAAGAUCUGCAGCUCUGGUUUGAGGGUUCAGAACUUAAAUAUCUGCUCUGAAGAGAGGACAGAACUCAGUCCAUCAUCACUGUAUGUGCCUUCCCUUUCCUCCUUAGCUGUUACCCAUUUCUUCUGCUGCUGCCAUCACAGAGUCCAUUUGUCAUGUCUCAGCUACGUAUGUUGCAUAUGCCUCAUGUUUGCAUAUAAGCACCUAUAAUUCAGGAUCUUAUGGUUAAUCUGCAAACCUGAUUAACUCUCAGUAAACACUACUGCAGCUGUCUUGUUUUUCAUGUGGGUUCUGAAAACAGGGAAUACAUGGAAGUCUUAUACUACUGAUGCUUUGUAUGUUUCUCAGUGUGUGUGACCUCUAAUCAAAAGCCCUACCAUCCAAUCAUAACCUUUCUGUACUCCCCAUGCUUUUUGAAACAGCCUCUAGUUGUGACACUGUGAUAAAUAGAAGCAAAACAAUGCUAUUAAAAUGCAUGAUGUGUAUUCUGCCAUAUUAGAUAACAUGGCCACGUUCAUUACCCACUAAUGCUGCCAGUUCACAGCUUUGCCAGUGCAGUCUCCUUCCCAUGUCUGAUUUGGACAAUUUAAGAGGAUUUUUGGCUACACUUCACCUUUCUUCCUUUUCACCUUUGUUUUUUACCUUUAUUCAUUUCUCCGAAAAUGGUGGUCUGCAGUAUGGAUUGGAUGUAGCUCAUGUUUCCCAGUUUUCCUAAGCUGUAAUUCACUAAGAAGCCAAGCUGGAAAACAGUUGAGGAGGUUUAUAAACACUGUUUUAGUGGAAAGCAGAUACCCAAGUCCCUUGUUCUCUCUGGGACCUCUGCCACAUUUUUAGAAUCUGUCACACUUCCCUUUGUGCCAUCAGCUUAUCCACAGCUUGUGCUCACAAUCCUUUGCCACUGUGAGAGUUAAUAGUUCUGCUCUCUCGAUGGCUGCACCCUUUCAGGGCUCAGAAAAGUUGACCAGCCUGGUUCUCUGUUUGUCAGUGGAACCCAGGCCUUUCGCCAUUUCAGUUUUGCAGCAUUAGAAUUAUAGCAGUGGGCAGAACACCCGAAUUUACUGCUGGAGCUGCCCCACUGUGAGUGCAGGGCCAGCCGGGGUGAGGUGUCUCCCACAGCGUGCUGCAGCUAUCUGCCAGUUCUGCUGCCUGAGCUCUGUGGGCAUGAGUCAGCUCUGGUCCAGGAGCCAUCUGGCUGAGCAGCGCCGUGCUG